CCACUGCCACUCAUCUCAUCCGGUUUGAAGAUCAGUACCAACCACCGCCGACGAAGGCAGUCCUAAAACGUUUAAACCCUAAAAUCAAACCUCUCGAAAUACGGUGAGCAAAGAAGUUGUCAAGGUUUAUGUUAAACCUAAGAAAAGGCCAUACCCCUGUUUCUUCGUGUCUUUCUCAGUCAGAGGAUGAGGUGUGGACCCGUUGGGGGCUAUGAUCUAUGAUGAAACUGGUGACGCAAAUUAUGACUUGGUUUACUUAUGUUCCGUGCUCUACCUGUGAACAAUGUGGCAAGCAUCAGGUAGUUUUACAUUUAUGGUUGAAUGGAUAAUAGACCGAUAUGAGGCAAACGGGUCAGUCGCGUAACGGGUAAAAAGACAAACUUUUAUACGGGUAUUAGUUGUGCAAAGAGUGAUCAGUUUCAGCCUUCGGGUUUAUAGAGAUUGAGAUGAGAGAAUAUCACAGACUUUGAUUAAUCAGAUAUCACAUGAGAAAGAAAAUGAUACAUAAGUGUUUUUACGCUGAUAAAGAAGGUUGCAGA
Molecule: long non-coding RNA, 539 nt
Filed under: Helianthus annuus (common sunflower)
Lineage: Eukaryota; Viridiplantae; Streptophyta; Magnoliopsida; Asterales; Asteraceae
Description: sRNA HanXRQr2_Chr16g0728881
Source: RNAcentral